GGUUAAAAUGGAAAUGAGCCAUUUUAACGGUAAAUAGACCACAUUACAUAUGAUGUUUCAGUGAAAGCGAAACCAUGCGAUAUCAUCGUCCAUAUUCUUUAGAACGCUAGCUUGAUACGUUUGUGUCCCGUCAAGAUUAGUUAAAACACGGAGGGAACGAGUGAAUUGAUCGAAGAAUAACUGCGUGAACCGAAAGCCUUGGCUGGUGAUCGAAAGACUGCGACAAACAUGGAUGGAGAAAGAGAAAGAUAUAAGGUUUUUACUUUAAACGUGAAUCAUCUUUUUCGUCCUGCGAGAACGUUACCAUUUUACGAUCAUCGUCAAUCAUUAUUGCAUUUACAGUUGGUCGUUUAUUUCUUAUGGGAAGAAAAUAAAAAUGAUUACAAAAGAAAAAAAAAAAUCGCUGGCUGUUCAACGGAUCUAUUGAGGUUAGACCGUGAAACGUCGACGAACGAACGCAAACAAAAUGAUCUAGGAUGAUAAACGCUUCUUUCGUUUUAAUCUCGAUUUAAAGUAGCACUCUAUUGGGGUCCAGAUGUACAUUCAUCUAUAUCUCAUCAAUAAAUCUGGCAGCAAAAGAAGUAUGGAAUUCAUUCGAUUAGUUAUUAAGAGUCUCAUCUAUAUUCGCAAGAAAUGUACGUGGAUUCUAGUUUCGAUGAUAAAUUAUAUUUCCUUUCCAUUUAAUAUUCAAUACAAUUUAUAUUUAGUUUACAAAAAUAACAUGAUUUCAUUUGAUUAUCAAUUUAGAAUCGUAUAGAAAGAAAAAGGUUGAUUUAAUCCGUGUACAUUUUUUGCUUCUAGAUUAGUAAAACGUUCUCGAAAAUCGUCGCGAAUCCUUAGAAACCUCCCAAAAAUCGAUUCGAUUAAAAAUAAAAAAAAAAAAAAAAAAAAAAAAAAAGAAAAGAAAAAAAAAUUUCUGACACCGAUAUCAUAUUGAUUCUAGAAAAUUAUACGAAUCGCUUUUAUCGAUCGCGUUCCCUUUUGUCUUGGAGCCUUCUUUGAACGACGCGAUUCUUCAUCUGACGAGGAUUGAUCUCGAUCUAGAGGAUCCCGAGUCCGAUUCAUUACCGUCCCCGAACCGUGUGCAAUGCUAGAAAUUAGAGAAACUCGUAGUAGACUAUCCGUGACGAGUGUCGAAGUCUGUGAAAUCGCGUAAACGACGCUGUUUCCCGGACACUUCGAGAGAGAAAAGGGACACGCACAUUUUUCGAUCGCUAGGACAAGAGUCGUUCGUUGCAAAUGGAAUUAUCGAUCGAUCCUGACUGUUUGAUCGUUCGACGCGAAGAAAAGGAAAAGAAAAGGAUCGAAUACACACCUGUUGCGCCUAUAGUUACGCAAGAGAAAGAAAAGAAAGUAAUAGGAUAAAAGAAGAGGGAGGAUAAGAUAUCGCGUUUGAGGUUAUCAAUGAUAAAUAUUGUUAGAAGGAGGAGAUACGAAUAAACUAAAUAGUAAAAGGCUGAAUGAGAAGAUCUUUAAACUUGUACAAAUGUUCAAGGUGUGUAUAUAUUUAUUAUAAAAAAAGGGGGGGAGGGGAAAGAUGAGUUAUGAAGAAGAAAAUGGCGAACAAUGUGGAAGAAAACGUCGAAUCGUCUGGCAGUCCUUGUUUCGAUGGAGGAUAAUACGAGAACGAAAGGAUGAAUAACAACAAGUGUGUGUGUGUGUGUAUGUGUGCGUGUGUGGGUGUGUGAGUGUAUGUAUGCGAGCAAAGUGGAACAAGAUGGGGGUGAAUGAUCAUACGAUUGAACGAGUCAGAGGAAGGUGGAACGUUUCAUUAAACAUUUUAUUGUUCGUUGUAAUAAACUUCUAGAGAAAUGAUAUGCAUUAUUAAAGAGAGAAGAAUUCUAAACGGUUAUAUUUCUUUGUGCAUAUAUACAUAUAUAAAUUGAUAUAUGUGUAUAUAUACAUAGCUCGAAGGGAAGGAAAUCGAUGAACAUAUUUAAUAUUGCUAUGAUGUGGCGUUUAACUCGUAUCGAUAUGCCCGCGAGGAUGUGAAUGGAAGAUAGGAUGAUUGUGAAUUGUAAAGUUUCGCGAGAAAGAUAGAGAGGAAGCGGAAGUUGUGGACAGGAAAUAAAGAUAAAUAGGUGGACAAAAAAAAAAAAAAAAAAGGAAAAAUAAAA
Long non-coding RNA from Apis dorsata (giant honeybee), 2117 nucleotides. RefSeq lists it as uncharacterized. The transcript is spliced from 2 exons. NCBI's taxonomy places the organism in Eukaryota, Metazoa, Arthropoda, Insecta, Hymenoptera, Apidae. The record is from RefSeq and is a predicted model, not a curated record.